UUGGGAGAAAGAGAGAGUGAGAUUACAGAGACAGAGGUACAAGCAGACUUGCCACUGAGCAGAGAGCCUGAUGUGGGGCUUCAUCCUGGGACCCAGAGAUCAAGACCUGAGCCUAAGGUAGAUGUUUAAUUGACUGAGCUGCCCAGGUGCUCCCUGUGACUCUCUUCUUAAUGAUACCCCAAUUUUCAUUUAAUUGGUCACUAUUUCCCCACCCAAUCCACUUAUUUAGGGAAUGGGAAGCUUAAGUCAUCAGCAUAUUGCAUUUUCCUGGCCCCAACAUUGGCUCUUUGCUGCCCAUACAGCCUAAGUGAUCAAAACAGAGCAAACCUUCUAACUUUUGCAUGGGAUUUCUGGGCAAAAGCAUUUUCUCUCAUCCUCUGGACCUAUGAAUGUGGGAUCUGAGCAGUUGUAACAUCUUAGGAUCUGAGGUUGAGAAGACUAAAACAGCCAGAGUUAUGGAAUAAAACCACCUGAUUAUUGUAUUGCCUCUCGAGUCUUCCAGAUAUACAAGCCAAUCAAUUUUUGAUUGUUUAAGCUAACUUAUGUUCAUUUUUCAUUUGCUUACUACCAAAAAUAUUCCAAUAUGGCUCUCUUGUAUAUGGAACAUAAAAAAUUAUGAAAAUUCCUUUGAGAGUAAAGCAUACCUAAGGAAGAAAACCAACAUAUGAUUCGUUCAUUCAAUAAAUAUUUAUUGAGAGUCUAUUAGGUACCAAGCUCCAUUCUAGCCUCUGGUAUACAAUGGCCAAUGAGAUAGAUGGGGACAUGGAUAAUUAAACCACCAAGUACAGUAUGGAGUGGUAACGGUAAGUACGGGCUACUUGUGGGCACAUAAUAAGACCAUAUUAUCUUGUUUAGGAGAUUUAGGGCAGACUUCUCAGCAGGAGGGAAAUUUCUUGUAAGACUUUAAAAAUAAAGCAUGUAUAUGUAUGCACUCAUGCACAUGCACAUUGAGGGAAUUCCCAGCACGCGAAAGAAACAGCAUGUAGAAAGACUCAGAAGUAGGAGUCCAAGGACCUGAAAGAAAUUCAAUCUUGUUAAAGCACAGAUACAGAGAGCUGGAGAGAUUGGUAGUGUGAACCCAAGCAAGAAAAGUAGAAAGGAGUGGAUCAUGCAGAGGACCUAGAGGCCAUGUUAAGGAGUUGAGACUAUCCUGGGAGCAAUAAGAAGGUAUGAAACAGAGGAAUGACAUGAUCUAAUUCACCCUCUUGUUGACCCAAAGGAAGACAUCUGGAAGUAAUGAACUAGCAGGGUGACAGAUUUAAGAUCAGUGGAGGAAGUUAUCAAAAAUGCAGGAGUUAGGAAAUGGGACUAUUAGAAUAAAUUAAAGUACUAUUGUACAGGUUUGACAGAUGAAGUUGGAGAGUGAGCACAAGGAGUAAAAGGGAAACGGUUUGGAAAGAGACACACAAGGAGGGAGGGAAGAGCAGGACAGAGCCACAUAGGGAGGGAGAAAAGGAGUGCUGAGUGGUUAUCCCUGGAGUUCCUGAAAGGAGAGAAACAAGUCAGCUUGUCACCUACAAACUGUCGCUGCGCUGCAAUUUACAGAUUAACACCAAGAUGAAUGCAUUUGAUUUAGAUUGUUGCUAAAGUUAAAAAAUAGAUUUCGCUACCUAGCUCAUUCUCUCCAUUGAAUAGGUAAUUCUUUACAAAUGUAUACGUAUCUACACACAUUGCACAUUAUGUAGAAGAGAGCUGAGAAAACCACUUUAGUUUUAUCACAUUUACAUAGCUACGACAUUGGGUUGUGUUUGUUUUUCUUCUUGUUCUAUUCUAUGGGCUGGGGUUGUAGUAGGAGUGGAGACCUUAGAU
Molecule: long non-coding RNA, 1809 nt
Filed under: Canis lupus familiaris (dog)
Lineage: Eukaryota; Metazoa; Chordata; Mammalia; Carnivora; Canidae
Description: lncRNA (ENSCAFG00845029133.1)
Source: RNAcentral